CAGCAGGGAGAGAGCUGUGAGGGCCUGGCCUCCCACUCAUGCCCGGCGGCUGUUUGGGUAGAGCUGUGGCCACCCCAUGGGCUCAAGUGCACCUGAUCUCUGACGGCAGCUGCACCAGGAGUACAGACUGUCCUGGGCGGCAGUGGGGGCUGCGCGAGGCUCCCUGCAGCUCAGCCCAGCCAGCUCCCAGCCAGAGUGUGGGCCAGAGCAGUCCUGGGCUGCAUAGACCUGGGAAAACUCAGGCUCCACGGAGAUCCCCCAGGAUGCAGUGGGUGCCUGAGGCAGGCACGAGGAAGCUGGGGAAGCGAGGGAAGGCUUCUCAGAAAAGGAGCAUUUAGGUUGAUCUUUGAAAGAACAAGAGAGAAUGAGGAGGAUCUGCCCCCUGUCCCCUCCACUCCUCCCUGGGGCCCUCGCAGGACCUGGACUGCCACAUGCUGUCUGUGGGCCUUGGUUGAACCAGGUGUGAAGUGCAGAUGACCGUGGUAAGACAGCAUCCAGAACUCAACAGAGGCCCCACCGAGGACUCCAUAAACAAAGGCCCCGUCCUGGGCAGGAAGCUGGCCCAGCACACACGCUCACACCAGGCCUGAGCCCCAGCGAGACCAGCUCUGUGUGGACGCUCCGCCCUGCGAAGCUCUGACGCCUCGCCUCUGUUCGCCCACCUUCACAAAACGGCUG
Molecule: long non-coding RNA, 678 nt
Organism: Manis javanica (Malayan pangolin)
Lineage: Eukaryota; Metazoa; Chordata; Mammalia; Pholidota; Manidae
Source: RefSeq, a predicted model, not a curated record